Transfer RNA from Prevotella sp. oral taxon 317, 75 nucleotides. It matches the Rfam family "tRNA". From Rfam's summary of the family: Transfer RNA (tRNA) molecules are approximately 80 nucleotides in length. Their secondary structure includes four short double-helical elements and three loops (D, anti-codon, and T loops). Further hydrogen bonds mediate the characteristic L-shaped molecular structure. tRNAs have two regions of fundamental functional importance: the anti-codon, which is responsible for specific mRNA codon recognition, and the 3' end, to which the tRNAs corresponding amino acid is attached (by aminoacyl-tRNA synthetases). tRNAs cope with the degeneracy of the genetic code in two manners: having more than one tRNA (with a specific anti-codon) for a particular amino acid; and 'wobble' base-pairing, i.e. permitting non-standard base-pairing at the 3rd anti-codon position. The record is from Rfam. NCBI's taxonomy places the organism in Bacteria, Pseudomonadati, Bacteroidota, Bacteroidia, Bacteroidales, Prevotellaceae.
GGGCGCUUAGCUCAGCUGGUUUAGAGCAUCUGCCUUACAAGCAGAGGGUCGGCGGUUCGAAUCCGUCAGCGCCCA